Molecule: ribosomal RNA, 420 nt
Filed under: uncultured bacterium
Lineage: Bacteria
Description: bacterial SSU rRNA
Rfam family: Bacterial small subunit ribosomal RNA
Source: RNAcentral
AACGAACGUUAGCGGUGUGGAUUAGGCAUGCAAGUCGUGCGUGAAAGGCGCAAGCCGAGUAAAGCGGCGAAAGGGUGAGUAACACGUAACCAAUCUACCCCUGAGACUGGGAUAACCUGCAGAAAGGCGGGCUAAUACCAGAUGGCCCUGCGUCGAGGCAUCUCGAUGCGGGUAAAUGGCGUAAGCUGCUCGGGGAGAGGUUGCGGCCUAUCAGCUAGUUGGCGGGGUAAUGGCCCACCAAGGCUAUGACGGGUACCCGGUCUGAGAGGAUGGUCGGGCACACUGGGACUGAGACACUGCCCAGACUCCUACGGGAGGCUGCAGUCGAGGAUCUUCCGCAAUGGGCGAAAGCCUGACGGAGCGACACCGCGUGCAGGAUGAAGGCCUCGGUUGUAACUGCUGUCACGCUAUAGGAACCCG